AAAUCUAAAUUAUGCCUAAUUUAAUAUUGAUUUACACGUACUUUGUUAAUGCAUAUUUGAUCAAUAUCGAAACUUUUUUUUUACAUCAAUUUAAUCAAUGUUAAUUUAUAAUUAGGAACGUUAAACAUAAAUUAAAACGAUCAAAUUAACAUUUAUAUAUACAUCCGCUAAUUCUGAAAUCUUGCUACGAAGAAAUCAAUGAAUUGACGCGAUGCUAUCGCAUUUGUUGACGCGACGAAAGGUGAGUAUAAUCGGCGGAACUCUCGUAAUGCUAUCGCACUUCCGGAACUGGGUAACUAAUCCGGGUCAUGCGAGAGAUAGAGAAGCAGAAGAAUUUCUCGUCAAGUGCACCCACACUGCAAAUGCAUUCGAGGCGAGGAGGGAAUCCGUAGGCAGGACGAACGGAGAGAGUGAGAUAGCCGAGGAUGGGAGCGAGCGAAGAGUCGGCGGAGUAGAGACCCGGCAAGAUAGAGGAGCCGGUGGGAGGAUGGCGGUUAGAAUUUAUGGCCGCUUUAUCACUUUACCGGCCUUGCCGCGUCUCCUUUAGCCUGUGAGGAGGGCAGGAUCUCACGAUGAACUUUGGCACUCGACUACGCUGCACUCGACGAGCGAUUAAUUACGCAUCAUCUAUCACGGAUAUACUAUUACGGAUUUCAACAAAAUUGUUCGGCUCUAUCUCUGAAAACGGAUACUCCUUCAUCACAUAUAUCAUCAUUACAAUCAUCACAUUAUACGAAUCAAUCAACACGAAUAAUGAAGAUUUAGUGACGCUAUUUGAGAUUUAAGUGAAUGGACAACGACUUGAAAUUGAUGAAAACAUAAAAUUUGGCGUUAAUAAUUUGCAUCUAAAGCGCAACAGAAAUGAAUAGAAAUCAAUCACUCCUCUGAUACCAAAGUGUAUAAUUACAAACAAGAAAUUUUUUUUUAAAAAAAAAUGUUAGGGAAUAUAAGAUAAAAUUAAUAAAAAAUUCAGAUAAUGUUAUAAUUUAUCUAGAAAUCGAGGAGUCUCAUCAGUCACUCAAAUGUUAUCGGAUAACGUAAUGGGUAUGGUGCACAUCGAUGGUGGACCCAAUCGAGGACUGGAAUUGCCAGGCAUAGAAAGCAACGCCGUAAUUAAACAAAGCUUUCAUAUGUUUGUUAACUUGAACUACAAUUUAAAACUGGCGCCUUUUCGAGGAUACCGGCAACCAUUAGACUGCCCCCGUGACAUUCGAGGUAGAGUAUGAUGGUUCCAUCGAGUAGGUAGUGCCUAGACGGGGCUCCACCCAGCACUUAGUUUACGUCGCGAUUGCGGCCCCGGGCACGGCCGUUUCCAGGGUACAGUCACGCCCCUGCCAUGCGAGUACUGUACUCCUAUUCGCUGGCCCAUAUCUCAUCUGGUCCAUCGCAUUAGCCUAAUCUGCCAGCAACGUGAACGAAGAAAAAAAAAUACGGCCAUCGACGUUGCCACUGACGAGAGAAAUCGUGGCGAGGUGCUGCCACCUUACUGGUAGGAUCGAGAGGUUGAUCGGCUGUCGAAUUGAUUUUUUUUCCCCGCAAGCAACGUUAUCACGCUCUCAUUUUGACUAGUAGUUCGAUUUCAUUAUUCGUGUACCGUUAGGGUUAAUAUCUUUUACUACGACUUCGUAAUUCACGGUCCUACCUAUUCGCGCCGGCCAGAAUCGAGAGUUUCUUCUUCCUGAUUGCCUGGACCAAAAUGAUAGUUAGUUUCCAUCAUUGGUUCACCGUUAUGAGGUCGAGAAGCUAGAGACAAUGCAGAUGUAGGAGAUCUGUGAGAUUAAGAACAGCAGUCUGCGGAUCAACUUGGCGCAGCUGCCGUCGACGACUAGCUGACAGGUGAUUUCGUCUCGGUGAAAGAAGGUGAUUGCCUCAUUACAGCAACUAACUAUAAGCAGGUAAUAAUCUCACAACUUUGUUGUUUUCUUUUUACUACUCGCGCAAUAAUUAUAUACAAGCAGUAAAGUAAGUGAGUUGUCAAGUAUAUAAAACUGGAGCGGUUGAAGGCUGAAAUUUUUCUUUAUCGAGAAAAACAAUCUUAUAUUGAUUAUAGCUUCUCACAAUUUAUGCACUUGUUAUUUAUGAAGUCGUAUUACGUCUACGUGUCGCAUUGUUAUUAUUAUUGCGCACUGUCUAAUUAACGGCUAUUUAUCGUUACCGACUGUAAGAUUUUCUGCACCAAUGUCUAAUCUCACGACAAAAAUAUGAAAAUUUGAUUUAUUUCAUAAUAAUAAAAGAUCCUGUAUUAUUGGCGAAUAUGUUAAACAUUAUAUCUAAAUAUUGUUCUUUAAAUUAAAAAAAUAAGCAAACAAAAAGUGUGGGUAUAUCAAGAAGCGUCACGGUGAACGGUGUGCCGAUACGCGAGUCACGGUGACGAUUCCUAACACUUUGCCAUCGCUACGGUAGAAAAGGCGAGCGCAAUUUCCGGCGCAUCGUCUUCCACCGCAACAACGUACAAAGAGCGGGGAAUCUUUUCGUUUCUGUGAAUGCCGUGCAUUAAUCAAGCGCCGCGGGCGCCUGACGUCUUAAUCUGCUUAAUCCUCGGUGGCCUACGCAACAUCCUGCACGCCCACGAUUCUAUGUAUGUACUAAACGCCAGGUACGUCCACGAUGCGGCCUUUGUCAGGACGUAAGGUUCUUGUCGUGAGAUCGGUUGUAACAACGUGCGCAUGUAACGGGAUUCCGCGGUGAAUACAAAGUUGCAUGGCAGAUGAAUAAUCGGCGCGAUAUCGAUAUUCGCGUGGAAUGGAACGGCCGAGUGUACGGCGAGAGGAGAGUAUUCAUUGCUGGAUGGCGAAGAACAGUUAUCCCCCGUGCGGAUUCGAGAAAUGAUUAAAAAUAUGCGUGCAAACGCACUUUCUCGAUCUUCGCGGUAAUGAGUUUGACUGUCCCUAUGUCCGUGAGAUUAAUAUGUUAAGUAAAAAUAAAUUUUGUACGUGUGUGCGUGCGAUCGGUUGUUGUAUAUUAAUGUCUAUAUGUUCGGCGAAACUUGACCCGACAUGCUGUUCAUAAAAGGCUUGUUUACGAGACAAGUAUGUGAAUGAGUAAAUCCUAAUAAAUGGAUUGCCUUAAUUGUGACAUAUUAAAGAAUGUAAAUAUGGAUUUUUAAUUAAAGGCUUUUUUUUAACGAGAACUGUCGCUGUAAUGAGGAUUAUUCAGUAAUCGGAUGGAUAAAAAGAAAAAAGGGAUAAGGAGGAAGGCCACGAAAGAUCGAACGCGGCCUAAUCUUACACACGACCGACAUCGUUUCGUGGGUGUCGUGCUUUCACUUCAAGGCAGUUUGACUGCAGAAGGCGAUUGGUUCUCGCAGGGCUCCUCCCAGAAGCCAUUAGGAGCCGAAACGGAGAAACAGCAUUAAUUUUAAAACCAAUCCUGAAAGAGAAAUCGGGCAUUGGUUAUCAUUCGUGCGAGUCCACGAUGAGGAGAAAAUCUUCCAAAAGAAGAGCCGCCUUAAUUGCUCGAUCGUUUUAUCUCUCACCUUUCGGAAACAAGCUAUUCACUUGAGUCAAGAAAUUAGAUCGACUCUAAUUUCCAAAAUUAGAUUAUCUCAUUGAUUGCAUCGUUUGAACACGCGUAGAUAAAAAACGUGUCCUUACGAAAAAAAAUUGAUUUUUCAUACCUUUACUACAUGAACGGAAAAAUCAAAUAAAACAUCAAAUACCUCUAUAGAAAUUAUGUGAUUGUGCAUUAAUUAUUGAAAAUGUUAUUUCAAUGUUUGUCUUUAAAGAAAGGAAUUAUCUUGAAAAAAAA
Long non-coding RNA from Monomorium pharaonis (pharaoh ant), 3747 nucleotides. RefSeq annotates it as retinal homeobox protein Rax. The record is from RefSeq and is a predicted model, not a curated record. The transcript has 5 exons. Lineage: Eukaryota; Metazoa; Arthropoda; Insecta; Hymenoptera; Formicidae.